GCGUAAUUGGUUUAGUGGUAAAAUUCUCCGUUGCCAUCGGGGAGCCCAGGGUUCGAUUCCCUGAUUACGCA
Molecule: transfer RNA, 71 nt
Filed under: Fusarium mangiferae
Lineage: Eukaryota; Fungi; Ascomycota; Sordariomycetes; Hypocreales; Nectriaceae
Also listed under: 17 other names
Rfam family: tRNA
About the family: Transfer RNA (tRNA) molecules are approximately 80 nucleotides in length. Their secondary structure includes four short double-helical elements and three loops (D, anti-codon, and T loops). Further hydrogen bonds mediate the characteristic L-shaped molecular structure. tRNAs have two regions of fundamental functional importance: the anti-codon, which is responsible for specific mRNA codon recognition, and the 3' end, to which the tRNAs corresponding amino acid is attached (by aminoacyl-tRNA synthetases). tRNAs cope with the degeneracy of the genetic code in two manners: having more than one tRNA (with a specific anti-codon) for a particular amino acid; and 'wobble' base-pairing, i.e. permitting non-standard base-pairing at the 3rd anti-codon position.
Source: RNAcentral